UUAGAUCUCUCAAAAUCAAAAAGUUCUGAUCCUUAAUUCUUUAUUGUCUCAAGGCUUGUUGUUGCUGGGUCUUCCCUCAAAUCUUUAUCAUGAAUAUUUACAUGUAAGCUUUAAUUUUUUUAAUUUAAUUUACCGAAUUUAGGGUUUUCAAUUGUCAAUAUAGGAUUUCUUAUGUUGAUUCCAUUUUAUUUGGAGCAAUUUCUUGUAUGUUUGGUUCAUUUAUUUUUCUUACAUUUAGAAGUAAUAUAUCAAAGACCAUGAAAAUUCUCAUUUGUGCCUUAACAAUCCGAAAUUUUGUAUAUCAUUCACAUAAUAGGUUUUUUCAUCUUAAUUAUUUCUUUUUAGUUAGCAAAUACUGAGGUGGAUCUGAAAAUUGUAUCUUAUAAAUUUGGGUAUAUGGACAUCUAUUAGAAUUUAAUCUACGUUCAUGCUUUUGGUCUUUAAUUAAUUGUCUGUCCCUGCCUCAUCUUGCUUGAAACAACCUUUUAGUUGUUUCUUGCUGUUAAUGUUUACAGCUUGUAGUAGUCUGUAAUCAUCGGAAAGAUUUCUUUCCAUAUUUUUUUUAAUACCUUUUUUUUUUCCUUGCCUAAGUGCGAAAUUUUUGUGCUAUAUUUCAACAAAUUGGGUUAUGAUGUAGAUCCUUUUAAAGUCCCAUGAUUUCUUAAUGAUUUUAAGUCGUGAACUCAACGCUGUUUAACGUAUCUGGGACUCGAUGUACUCACUAAAUUAUUAUUAUUAUUAUGAUUAUUGAGGAUGAUGAUAAUCAUCGUCAUCAUCCAUAUAAAUUGCAAACUUGUUAUAUAAUUGCCUGAUGAUGCAAAAAGGGAAAAGCAAUAGAGAUUAAAAUUUAGACCUUUCAUUUUAGUAUUUCUUUAGGGAGGGUGAUAAGAGAAUCAUUCUGUCGGUUUCCAACUAGACAAUGCAUAUAGCUAAAGUUUUGCAUCAAUAUUGUGAUGUUGUGAAAGAGAGAAAUGAGUUGAUUGAUGUGUAGUGUCUACAAACUUGGCACUGCAACUGCUGUGCAGUUUCUAAGUUUGAGAAUAUGUACUGAUUUAAUUAGAACUUGCAGAUUCUUAACAGCCAGAAUUUUCUCUUGAGCUACAACAUAUAUGGGUUGCAUUGGCAUUUUAAAGGAGGGAAGACUUCAGUUGAGGUAGAUCUUUAUGAUGUCUCAUUAUUUGUGGACUUUCCUUUACUAAUUUCAGUUUUGUUGUUUUUGUUGGCUGUACUGUUGAUUCUGUUGUUUUGUCACUUCUCUUAUUGAGUUGAUUUUAUUUCUUAUAUACUAAUAUCAAUCCCUCUGUCUGGUUAGGGUAAUGGUUAUUGUUGCAUUUUUCCAACCAAUUGAUGCUUAAGUGCGAUCCAUAAGUGAAGAUUUAUCUUGCUGAAUUUAGUCUCAUGCUCGUGGUUUUCUUUUUGCUUUGUUUAAAUGAAGAUUUAAAUUAAUCUAAAUUUUUUUGUUCUUGGUAGUUUUUGGGUUUUAUUUGUUAAGCUAGAAAACUUGAAUUUGACUUAUUAAAUUGGUCAUUAGACACAAACAAGAUUAUCAAUAAGCCCAUAUUGCUUGAUUAUUUAGAUUGUGCCCAUACAAAAGGACUAAAUGCUGAAAGUUCUCAAAAGCCUCUCAAAAUUCGUGAUAGCCUCGUGUUUUGUUUAUAUGAUUAGCAUCAAUACAUAAUUCUUUUAGGUUAAAUUGAAUGCACUAGUACUAAAAAAAAAAGAAAAAAUUGUUGUAGAAGGCGAUAUUUAAUUGGUACAAAGGCAUGAAUAAGUUAUCAUAAUUGCUCCUUGCAUUUGUGUAGUUCGUUCAUAUUCUUAAAUUGAUGUCUAACAUAGGUACAAACUCCUGCAGAAGAUUAAUUGAGUAGAUGGAAUGUGAAGAAAAAUAAAAUGGCUUCCAUGCGAAUUACAAAAUAUAGUUAUAGAAUUUCUUUAUUGAUGUUUGAGUUGAUUUAUUGCAACAUUUGAUUUUCAUUUCGUAUUAGGUAUUGCUAUUUUUAUCCUUUUGCCAUAUACUUAUUAUAUCCUUAAUGACCUUGCAUUUAUGGAUUGCAUGUCACAGUUGAAUGGUUUGGAUGAAUGUAAGCGUGAUUUGAAGUUAAGUACACCUUAAUUUUUCUAAUUUACUUAUAUGGGAAAAGUUUGUUAAGAAAGCAUUAUUUUGUUUCUUUUUUAUUAACAGAAUAAAAUUCUUAUUUAUUUUUAAAUUCAUAAUGCAGGUGAUCAAGGAUAUUCUGCAAAAAUGUAUUGAAGAGUGAGAACAAAUUGAAGAUAGUAUUUAAUACUUUUUUAAAGGUCACUAGAAAGUAUAGAAGUAUGAUAUAUGAUUAUGGAUGUUUAAGUAUUUUUAUUUUAUCAACGAACAAUGUAUAAUUUCUUUUUCAUCAAUAGAAUGACUAAAAUGAUGUAUUGAAUUAAUGAAUUGAAUGAAGAAUAA
Molecule: long non-coding RNA, 2437 nt
Filed under: Citrus x clementina
Lineage: Eukaryota; Viridiplantae; Streptophyta; Magnoliopsida; Sapindales; Rutaceae
Description: Citrus clementina (C. clementina) long non-coding RNA (CCLE_LNC003561)
Source: RNAcentral